This 196-nucleotide ribosomal RNA is filed under the name uncultured bacterium. RNAcentral's name for it is "partial 16S ribosomal RNA". It matches the Rfam family "Bacterial small subunit ribosomal RNA", at positions 338 to 525 of the family's 1533-position model. The record is from RNAcentral.
UCUACGGGAGGCAGCAGUGGGGAAUAUUGGACAAUGGGCGAAAGCCUGAUCCAGCCAUGCCGCGUGUGUGAAGAAGGCCUUUUGGUUGUAAAGCACUUUAAGCGAGGAGGAGGCUACCGAGAUUAAUACUCUUGGAUAGUGGACGUUACUCGCAGAAUAAGCACCGGCUAACUCUGUGCCAGCAGCCGCGGUAAUA